GUUUGAUCAUGGCUCAGAUUGAACGCUGGCGGCAGGCCUAAGACAUGCAAGUCGAGCGAGAAAGUACUUCGGUAUGAGUACAGCGGCGGACGGGUGAGUAACGCGUAGGAAUCUACCUAGUAGUGGGGGACAACUCGGGGAAACCCGAGCUAAUACCGCAUACGCCCUAAGGGGGAAAGCGGGGGAUCUUCGGACCUCGUGCUAUUGGAUGAGCCUGCGUAAGAUUAGCUAGUUGGUAGGGUAAAGGCCUACCAAGGCGACGAUCUUUAGCUGGUCUGAGAGGAUGAUCAGCCACACUGGGACUGAGACACGGCCCAGACUCCUACGGGAGGCAGCAG
RNAcentral lists this ribosomal RNA (338 nucleotides) under Minutocellus polymorphus. Its description in RNAcentral is "partial Bacterial small subunit ribosomal RNA". It matches the Rfam family "Bacterial small subunit ribosomal RNA", at positions 11 to 354 of the family's 1533-position model. The record is from RNAcentral. Lineage: Eukaryota; Bacillariophyta; Thalassiosirophyceae; Cymatosirales; Cymatosiraceae.